This 275-nucleotide long non-coding RNA is filed under the name Elaeis guineensis (African oil palm). RNAcentral describes it as "long non-coding RNA (EGUI_LNC081107)". The record is from RNAcentral. Lineage: Eukaryota; Viridiplantae; Streptophyta; Magnoliopsida; Arecales; Arecaceae.
GUCCUGACACCAACUAAAGUCUGGUCAUUCAAGACCAGAUAAGAAAAAGAAAAUCUUCUCGGCGGCCCCUCUGCGCUCCCGCGACCCCACUAAGAGCAGAGGAAAAACCCUCACUCGAGAAAAGCAAAAGAAAAAGGGAGGAGGUUAAAAAGAAAGCGACGAACUGCAUCAACGACAAAUGAAAAAUAAAUUACAUCAAAGAUACAGGGAACCUUGUCUCAGCGAGGAUUGGGGUUCUUAUCAAAAUCUCCGGUCUCCAAGAGAGCUCUCAAUGC